GCCUACUGUUUAAUUUUGAGGGUUCGUUUUUACGAAUACUCAAAAUUAGCACUUUAAGCAACAGAAUAAACUGAACGCAUGUGAAGUUUGUUUGUUGGCGCUGUGCGUUAGCACUUUAAGCAACGGGAUUUAUCCGUUGGCGCUGUGAAUUAGCACUUCAAGCAACGGAAUUUAUUCGUUGGCGCUGUGCUUUAGCACUUUGAAAACUGCAUAUAUAUUUAGUGAUAUGACAUCUAAUUUGUAAUAUAUAAAGCUGAUAACUUUUUAAAAUUAUCGAAGUUGAUAGCUUCUAAUCUAUCAAACCUUUUUAACUGGUCAA
RNAcentral lists this unclassified non-coding RNA (319 nucleotides) under Clostridioides difficile. RNAcentral describes it as "16S-23S ribosomal RNA intergenic spacer (ISR)". The record is from RNAcentral. Lineage: Bacteria; Bacillati; Bacillota; Clostridia; Peptostreptococcales; Peptostreptococcaceae.